Long non-coding RNA from Gavialis gangeticus (Gharial), 1351 nucleotides. RefSeq lists it as uncharacterized. The record is from RefSeq and is a predicted model, not a curated record. NCBI's taxonomy places the organism in Eukaryota, Metazoa, Chordata, Crocodylia, Gavialidae. The transcript has 3 exons.
AUAAAAGACAACAGGCAGGAAGGGGUUGAGUUCAGACCAUGCCAAGAAGGUUAGGCAAGGGACUAAUUUUGAUUAUGGCUCUCAAACGAUUCAACACGUAAUACUGUUUUGGUUCCCUUGUCUCUCCACCCCUGCUUGUGCCCGCUUAAGUGUGCCAUUAAGCAUUUUGAGGCAGGGAUGUUGACAUGCUUAUGCAGUUCUAUGGUGCCAUAGCCUACUUCACCUCUAGGUACUGCCACAACAUAAAUGUUAAAUAUGCGGCCUGGCAUGGGAUAGAUGAAGCUCUAGAGGGAUUAUGAAGUGGGUGGGAGCAGUAAGAGUAAAGGUGAGGUUGGAUAAUACUGGACCAGAUAAAUCCCUGCAAAAGGUAUGUCAGGACCUGUCCUACACAGUCUCUGAGUGGGGAAUGGCCUAGAUGACUUGAUACUGUAAGACAUUUUUGGAGUGAUAUCUUUUAUUAGACCAACUGCAUGGUUGGGAUGAAGCUAGGCAAGCUUUCAAAUGCAAGAAAUUCUUCAUCAGGUAACUCAUCAUUAGAGAGUCAACAUUUCCCUAAACUGACAGAACAUGCUAUAGUCGUUUCCUUAUACUUUUUAGAAUGAAUCCUUCUAAACAUUUAGUAGUGACCAUAAUAAGACUUUUCUGACUCUUUCACUAGGAUCCAUGGACAGGCCUGAAUUGUGAGUCCAGAUUUUCGGGUGGUGGCAAUCAGCGCAGCUCUACUGAAGGCAGGCUGAUGGGCACCAGCUGAAGAUCGGACCCAUGAUUGAUUUUGCAGCUGCAGAAAACACCUUGAAAGGGACAAGGACACCUGGAAAUUUCUAGCAAAGCACUGGGACUGAGACACAAGAAAGGAAGAAAAACAAUGUGCUCUGAUUGCCCAGCAAGUGACCGUUGGGGCUAAGAUGCAUUGCCAGAAUCUGGCUGACACAUUUCACAAAUACUCUCUCUCUCUCUCUCCUAACUCUUGUUCUAGAUCAAGGAAAGUGGCAGAAUGAGCCAUGAGGCGAUUCAAGCAGCAGCAGGCAGGACUAAAGUCUCAACACAUGCAACAAGGACAGAAAUAGCCUCCGAGUUGAAAUUAAAUAUAAUAAUCAUGAUCAUAAUACUCAUCAGAACCCAAAUUGGCAAAUUAAACACUGCCUCUUCCCAAACCCUGUACACCAGUGGCUAAGUAGGAGAUCAGCUUUGGCAUUUAAAAGCAACUCAAGGUCUACUGUGCACCACCGCCAACUCCCUGCCCAGCAGCGACUUAUUCAAUCAAAGAAGAUGCCAAUGAGCAUACACACUAGUCAUCGUCAUAAAAGAUGCCAGGAGAAAGAGUAAUAGGUUCUAGGGUCAGAAGGAACCU